Molecule: ribosomal RNA, 866 nt
Filed under: uncultured archaeon
Lineage: Archaea
Description: SSU rRNA
Rfam family: Archaeal small subunit ribosomal RNA
Source: RNAcentral
AACACAGCACCUCAAGUGGUCAGGAUGAUUAUUGAGGCCUAAAGCAUCCGUAGCCGGCUAUGUAAGUUUUCGGUUAAAUCUGUGCGCUUAACGUACAGGCUGCCGGGAAUACUGCAUAGCUAGGAAGUGGGAGAGGUAGACGGGACUCGGCAGGAGGGGGUAAAAUCCCUUGAUCUAUUGAUGACCACCUGUGGCGAAGGCGGUCUACCAGAACACGUUCGACGGUGAGGGAUGAAAGCUGGGGGAGCAAACCGGAUUAGAUACCCGGGUAGUCCCAGCUGUAAACUAUGCAAACUCAAUGAUGCAUUGGCUUGUGGCCAAUGCAGUGUUGCAGGGAAGCCGUUAAGUUUGCCGCCUGGGAAGUACGUACGCAAGUAUGAAACUUAAAGGAAUUGGCGGGGGAGCACCACAAGGGGUGAAGCCUGCGGUUCAAUUGGAGUUAACGCCAGAAAUCUUACCCGGAGAGACAGCAGAAUGAAGGUCAAGCUGAAGACUUUACCAGACAAGCUGAGAGGUGGUGCAUGGCCGUCGCCAGCUCGUGCCGUGAGAUGUCCUGUUAAGUCAGGUAACGAGCGAGAUCCCUGCCUCUAGUUGCCACCAUUACUCUCAGGAGUAGUGGGGCGAAUUAGCGGGACCGCCGCAGUUAAUGUGGAGGAAGGAAGGGGCCACGGCAGGUCAGUAUGCCCCGAAACUCUGGGGCCACACGCGGGCUGCAAUGGUAGUGACAAUGGGUUCCGAAUCCGAAAGGAGGAGGUAAUCCUCAAACACUACCACAGUUGUGACUGAGGGCUGCAACUCGCCCUCACGAACAUGGAAUCCCUAGUAACUGCGUGUCACUAUCGCGCGGUGAAUACGUCCCUGCUCCU